CAAUAGCGUAUAUUAAAGUUGUUGCAGUUAAAAAGCUCGUAGUUGGAUUUCUGGUGGGAGCGAUCGGUCUGGCGCUUAGCGCGAGUACUUGCAUCGUCUCCGGCCAUCCUUGGGGAGAGUCUGUCUGGCAUUAGGUUGUCGGGCAGAGGAUCUUCAUCGUUUACUGUGAAAAAAUUAGAGUGUUCAAAGCAGGCUUAUGCCGUUGAAUAUAUUAGCAUGGAAUAAUAAGAUAGGACUUUGGUACUAUUUUGUUGGUUUGCGCACCAAAGUAAUGAUUAAUAGGGACAGUUGGGGGUAUUCGUAUUCCGUUGUCAGAGGUGAAAUUCUUGGAUUUACGGAAGACGAACUACUGCGAAAGCAUUUACCAAGGAUGUUUUCAUUAA
Molecule: ribosomal RNA, 383 nt
Filed under: uncultured eukaryote
Lineage: Eukaryota
Description: partial 18S ribosomal RNA
Rfam family: Eukaryotic small subunit ribosomal RNA
Source: RNAcentral